GACGAACGCUGGCGGCGUGCUUAACACAUGCAAGUCGAACGGAAAGGCCCGGCUUUGGGGGGGUGCGCUAGUUGCGAACUGGUGAGUAACACUUGAGUAACCUGCCCUUGACUGUGGGAUAACUUCAGGAAACUUGGUGUAAUAGCGGAUAGGAGCUCCUGCUGCAGGGUGGGGGUGGGAAGGUUUCGGCGGUUGGGAAUGGACUGGCGGCUUAUCAGCUUGUUGGUUGGGUAGUGGCUUACCAAGGCUUUGACGGGUAGCCGGCCUGAAAGGGAGACCGGCCACAUUGGGACUGAGAUACGCACCAGCCUCAUACGGGAGGGAGCAGGGGGGAAUAAUGAACAAUGGGCGGAAGAAUGACGCAGCAACGCCGGGUGCGUGAUGAAGGCAUUCGGGUUGUAAAUCGCUUUCGUUUGCGACGAAUCGUGAGUGCAGGUACUGGGGAAAGAAGCACCGGCUACUUACGG
Molecule: ribosomal RNA, 467 nt
Filed under: uncultured bacterium
Lineage: Bacteria
Description: partial 16S ribosomal RNA
Rfam family: Bacterial small subunit ribosomal RNA
Source: RNAcentral